UGGUUCAGGCAUGCAAGUCGAACGCUUCACCGCAAGGUGAAUAGUGGCAGAAGGGUUAGUAACACGUGAACAAUCUACCCCCGAGUCGGGGAUAACACCUCGAAAGAGGUGCUAAUACCCGAUAAUAUUCUUUCGUCGCAUGACGAGACAAUCAAAGGUGGCGCAAGCUGCCGAUUGGGGAGGAGUUCGCGGCCUAUCAGCUAGUUGGUGAGGUAACGGCCCACCAAGGCAUUUGACGGGUAGCUGGUCUAAGAGGACGAUCAGCAACAUUGGGACUGAGACACUGCCCAGACUCCUACGGGAGGCUGCAGUCGAGGAUCUUUAGCAAUGCCCGAAAGGGUGACUAUGCGACGCCGCGUGCAGGAUGAAGGCCUUCGGGUUGUAAACUGC
Molecule: ribosomal RNA, 390 nt
Filed under: uncultured organism
Description: bacterial SSU rRNA
Rfam family: Bacterial small subunit ribosomal RNA
Source: RNAcentral